RNAcentral lists this long non-coding RNA (931 nucleotides) under Lonchura striata (white-rumped munia). RNAcentral describes it as "domestica (Bengalese finch) lncRNA (ENSLSDG00000002712.1)". The record is from RNAcentral. Lineage: Eukaryota; Metazoa; Chordata; Aves; Passeriformes; Estrildidae.
GCCCCGGUGCCCGGGCGGGCGGGCAGAGCGGCGGGAGCGCUGCCAGCAGAGCCCAGCCGGCUGCCAGGCUCCGCUCCCCGCCCUUCUUCCCCUGGGCUGUGCCAGGCCGUGCCGAGGAGCCCGCCGUGCCACCAGCCCCCCGAGAGGCCGCCCUCGGUGCCACCAGGCUGAACGGAGCCCCGAGCGAGGGCACGGAGGCGCCCCACCAGGGAACCCUCGAGGGAACCCGUGCCAAGCUGGGCCAGGACGCCGAGCUCGCGGGGACGCCUGAGGGACACGAUGUGGCCGCCCCAAAGGGCAGGCAAGUGACGCUCCUCGACAGGAUCUUCAGGCUGGAGAAGGGCAAGGGAAGGACACAGAGUGACCCCCAGGAGGGAAGGCAGAGCUUGGAUGAUCCCGAUGGGAGCAUCGCGGCCGGCGCGCCCAACGGGGUCCUGCUGGGAAAGGAGCUAGAUGAGUGCAGGCAAAAGGAGCUCGGGCAGGACUCUGCAGGUGACCGGAGCCCGGCUGCUGCAGCAGCUGGCAGGGCACAGGUGGAGCAGGGCAGUGCCCAGGCAGCUGCAGGACAGGGCUCAGUCAUGAGCUUCCUCAGAACACUGGUCUCCUCAAGCAAAGCUGAAGCCAAAAGUGAUUCUGAAGAUAAGGGCUCCAGGGCGGAGAAGGGCCCUGGGGGACAGCCUGGCCCGAAGGCAGCCGCAGGAUCCCCCUCCAAAGGAGCCAAGAAAAAGAAGGCAGAGAGCCCCAAAAAGCUGGGCCACAGCACCUUUAGCAAACUCUUUAGGCACAAGGCUGAGAAAGAAACCCAGCAGACAGCCAACACCAAAGUGAGUAGGAGGGGUUGAAUUAUCUGUGCAACGCAGGAAAAGGGAAAUUCUCGCUGGCAUGUUCAGUCUUUAGGUGUUUUCGUUUCUUUAUCUGUGUUCUGGGUUUG